GAUGAACGCUGGCGGCGUGCCUAAUACAUGCAAGUCGAGCGAACAGACGAGGAGCUUGCUCCUCUGACGUUAGCGGCGGACGGGUGAGUAACACGUGGAUAACCUACCUAUAAGACUGGGAUAACUUCGGGAAACCGGAGCUAAUACCGGAUAAUAUAUUGAACCGCAUGGUUCAAUAGUGAAAGACGGUUUUGCUGUCACUUAUAGAUGGAUCCGCGCCGCAUUAGCUAGUUGGUAAGGUAACGGCUUACCAAGGCGACGAUGCGUAGCCGACCUGAGAGGGUGAUCGGCCACACUGGAACUGAGACACGGUCCAGACUCCUACGGGAGGCAGCAGUAGGGAAUCUUCCGCAAUGGGCGAAAGCCUGACGGAGCAACGCCGCGUGAGUGAUGAGGUCUUCGGAUCGUAAAACGCUGUUAUUAGGGAAGAACAAAUGUGUAAGUAACUAUGCACGUCUUGACGGUACCUAAUCAGAAAGCCACGGCUAACUACGU
This 495-nucleotide ribosomal RNA is filed under the name uncultured bacterium. RNAcentral's name for it is "partial 16S ribosomal RNA". It matches the Rfam family "Bacterial small subunit ribosomal RNA", at positions 28 to 506 of the family's 1533-position model. The record is from RNAcentral.